UGAGAGGAUUUCUUUAUUUCGCGUUCAGACCCAACACACUCGGACACCUUGGGGCCCUGUGAGGGCUAAGCAGGGUGGUGGCGUCAGCUCCCGGGGAGGCCCCACUCCCUGGGGAGGAAAUACACGGCAGGGGGCCGCACCCAGCCCCCCACGGAGGGACCCGUGUUGCUCUAACAGGGACACUGAAGGCUCUGUCUCACGCACACGGGCACAGGCACGCAGGUGCCGGCCCUGCCGCUGGCUCCCAAGAGGCCGAUAGCCCGGUAGGGAGGUCACACACACACAGCUG
RNAcentral lists this long non-coding RNA (289 nucleotides) under Homo sapiens (human). RNAcentral's name for it is "HSALNT0226433". The record is from RNAcentral. Lineage: Eukaryota; Metazoa; Chordata; Mammalia; Primates; Hominidae.